UUAUAAAAAAGUUCAUUCGUCGUUGCGCCCGUAUGAAUGUGAUAUAUGCGAUAAAAUGUUUAAAACUAAGGAAACUCUACUAUACCAUUCUAAAUGUCAUUAUUCUGAUUCUGAGAAACCUUCUAAAAACCAAGUAUGUGAUAAAUGUUUAAGUACAAAACAGAGUUCAACUGAACAUGAAGCAGUUCAUUCGUCGUUGCGUCCGUUCAACUGUGCCAUAUGCGAUCAAACUUUCAAAACCAAGACAAAUCUACAAAUCCAUAUCAAACGUCAUUUUAAGUACCCUUUUAAGUGCCAAAUGUGUGGUAAUGUUUUCGAGUCACAAAUACUGGAAGAUAAAUAUGGAAUUCGUGUUUACUACACAUGUCAUAUAUGCGAAGAAAGUUAUAAAAAAAGAGUACUGUUUGAGGAACAAGAUGUAUCAUGAAAGAAACAAUCAGCAA
Pseudomyrmex gracilis is the source of this 443-nucleotide long non-coding RNA. RefSeq lists it as uncharacterized. NCBI's taxonomy places the organism in Eukaryota, Metazoa, Arthropoda, Insecta, Hymenoptera, Formicidae. The transcript is spliced from 3 exons. The record is from RefSeq and is a predicted model, not a curated record.